RNAcentral lists this ribosomal RNA (128 nucleotides) under uncultured eukaryote. Its description in RNAcentral is "partial small subunit ribosomal RNA". It matches the Rfam family "Eukaryotic small subunit ribosomal RNA", at positions 1651 to 1776 of the family's 1831-position model. The record is from RNAcentral.
CCCUGCCAUUUGUACACACCGCCCGUCGCACCUACCGAUUGAAUGGUCCGGUGAAAUUUUCGGACCGCGGCGCGCUCUCCUUCGCUGGCGAGCGCGCUGCGGGAAGUUACUUAAACCUUACCAUUUAG